Pteronotus mesoamericanus is the source of this 798-nucleotide long non-coding RNA. RefSeq lists it as uncharacterized. NCBI's taxonomy places the organism in Eukaryota, Metazoa, Chordata, Mammalia, Chiroptera, Mormoopidae. The record is from RefSeq and is a predicted model, not a curated record. The transcript is spliced from 4 exons.
GCGCUAGCCGCUGCCGCUACCGCUGCCGCCGCCGCCACGGUUCUUUACCUACUGUGGCCCGGGUGGCUGCCAGCGCUGCUGCUCGCUGCCCGCCGCCCUGGCAUCCCAAGCCGCCUCCCAUCGCGCUGGCCCGGCGCGCAGGUGUUCAUGAAAAAAUGCACAAAAUCCUGACUGACCGGAAUAAUUCAUGAAGAAGGGGCUGGAUCCGUGGGUCAGAGAACACAGGACCAGUUUGCCAUCCCAAGGCCCAAGUCUGGUGUCUCGGAUUUGGCCCUGCGUUGCCUACUCCUGCUGGAUCUUGUCCAGUCGAAGGACAAAACGCCCUGACAUCUUCCUGAAGAAUGGGAAGAAAGGAGAUUCUGAAAGCACAGAGUGUAAUACCGAGGAAACCAACAGCUGAAGGAUUGCCCCACCCCAGCAGGAGCCCAGGGACGGCUGAAACUGGAGGCGUGCAGGCCCAAGCAUGGAGGAGAUACCAGCAAUGACCAAGAGUCACCCCCAGCGGCUCCUGAGCUGUCUGUCCAGGACGCACUGAAUUGAGCACACCCAGCAGGACUUUCUCACCUUGCAGCUGCGAUCGCUGGAACAAAGACCAGAGAAGCCGAAGCAGCAGCCCUAGUCCAGAUGCUUUUUAGAGUUACCCUGAGAAAAUUGUCUGUGGAGUUAUGACCAGUUUUACCAAUGGAUAUUGUGAGAAGAGACCUUCCCUUCUGCAUGGGAUUCUAUCAACCCUGGAGGCCAUUCCCCAUGGACUUUGAAGAUCUUAUAUCCACCUUUCAGCAGGCUCUUCUUGCUUCA